RNAcentral lists this long non-coding RNA (3123 nucleotides) under Salmo salar (Atlantic salmon). Its description in RNAcentral is "lncRNA (ENSSSAG00000084670.1)". The record is from RNAcentral. Lineage: Eukaryota; Metazoa; Chordata; Actinopteri; Salmoniformes; Salmonidae.
GCAAUACAACAGCCACCCUUCCUUUAAACAGGCAAUACAACAGCCACUCUUCCUUUCAGAACAGGCAAUACAACAGCCACUCUUCCUUUCAGAACAGGCAAUACAACAGCCACUCUUCCUUUCAGAACAGGCGAUACAACAGCCACUCUUCCUUUCAGAACAGGCAAUACAACAGCCACUCUUCCUUUCAGAACAGGCAAUAAAGCAGCCACUCUUCCUUUUUGAACAGGCAAUAAAGCAGCCACUCUUCCUUUCAGAACAGGCAAUAAAGCAGCCACUCUACCUUUUUGAACAGGCAAUAAAGCAGCCACUCUUCCUUUCAGAACAGGAAAUACAACAGCCACUUGACCUGUAAAGGUAUUUCCGCUUGGCGAAGUCAAAUAUGAUGAUAGCUACUGAUUAGUUUUUUUUUACGGCGGUAUAUCUAAGGUUUUCCAGCUUGCAGGUAUGUUCUGUUCUUUGCCUGUUUAAGCAGCAGAAAGGGACCGGCAUACGUAGCUAAUCCUCUCUCUGUUUCUAGAAACCCACAAGGCAUCCAUAAGAUAACUCCACCACCUUUUCCAUCUGCAGGCUUCUUGGUGAUGGCUGCCCAUGUCAGACCACGCUCCUUCAUCUCCUUGGGACAGAGGGACAGGGGGACAGGAGGACAGAGGGACAGAGGGACAGGGGGACAGAGGGACAGGGGGACAGAGGGACAGAGGGACAGGGGGACAGGAGGACAGAGGGACAGAGGGACAGAGGGACAGGCCUAUUGGACAUGGUCAUGUAAGGGCAAGAGGCAGGAGUCAGAUGUUUCAAUAGGUUGUUCUGACAGACUCACACCAGUUUGUUUGGCCCAACAGCCCCUGAAACAGCUGCAAGAGGCGCCCCAGGGUUUCUUUGAGAGAAGUGCUCCCCAGGGCUCUCUGUCUCUCCGCCUGUGAGGUUUGGACACGGAGCAGCCAACUAAUGCUGAGCUCAGUUUUCAAUUCUCCGUGUUCAGGCCGGGGUUCCCAAUAAGAGUUUAGGUUGGACCGAGACAAGGGAAGUGCUGCCAGUAGAGCUGUGGGGAUGCAGGACGGGACAGAGAGCCCUUGUAGUGGAUCAGUGGGACUUGGGUCUGACUCAAGACAGCUGCCUUUACUGGGACACUCAGUCCCAAAUCUGUGUGAGCUGCAGGGAAGUCACAUUGUGGUGGAGACUGUUACAGUAGACUGUUCCUAAAGCUAACUGGAGACUGUUACUAAAGCUAACUGGAGACUGUUCCUAAAGCUAACUGGAGACUGUUCCUAAAGCUAACUGGAGACUGUUCCUAAAGCUAACUGGAGACUGUUCCUAAAGCUAACUGGAGACUGUUCCUAAAGCUAACUGGUGACUGUUACUAAAGCUAACUGGAGACUGUUACUAAAGCUAACUGGAGACUGUUACUAAAGCUAACUGGAGACUGUUCCUAAAGCUAACUGGUGACUGUUACUAAUGCUAACUGGAGACUGUUACUAAAGCUAACUGGAGACUGUUCCUAAAGCUAACUGGAGACUGUUCCUAAAGCUAACUGGAGACUGUUACUAAAGCUAACUGGAGACUGUUCCUAAAGCUAACUGGAGACUGUUACUAAAGCUAACUGGAGACUGUUCCUAAAGCUAACUGGAGACUGUUCCUAAAGCUAACUGGAGACUGUUCCUAAAGCUAACUGGAGACUGUUCCUAAAGCUAACUGGAGACUGUUCCUAAAGCUAACUGGUGACUGUUCCUAAAGCUAACUGGAGACUGUUACUAAAGCUAACUGGAGACUGUUCCUAAAGCUAACUGGAGACUGUUACUAAAGCUAACUGGAGACUGUUCCUAAAGCUAACUGGAGACUGUUACUAAAGCUAACUGGAGACUGUUCCUAAAGCUAACUGGAGACUGUUCCUAAAGCUAACUGGAGACUGUUCCUAAAGCUAACUGGAGACUGUUCCUAAAGCUAACUGGUGACUGUUACUAAAGCUAACUGGAGACUGUUCCUGAAGCUAACUGGAGACUGUUACUAAAGCUAACUGGAGACUGUUCCUAAAGCUAACUGGUGACUGUUACUAAAGCUAACUGGUGACUGUUACUAAAGCUAACUGGAGACUGUUCCUAAAGCUAACUGGAGACUGUUCCUAAAGCUAACUGGAGACUGUUCCUAAAGCUAACUGGUGACUGUUACUAAUGCUAACUGGAGACUGUUCCUAAAGCUAACUGGAGACUGUUCCUAAAGCUAACUGGUGACUGUUCCUAAAGCUAACUGGAGACUGUUCCUAAAGCUAACUGGAGACUGUUACUAAAGCUAACUGGAGACUGUUCCUAAAGCUAACUGGUGACUGUUACUAAAGCUAACUGGAGACUGUCUCCUACUACAGUAGGAGUGCUGAUCUAGGAUGAAGUCCCCCCCCCCUCCCUGUCUAUAGAAACUUACUCAUUAUGAUCGGCCUUAGAUAAACACUUCCACUAUGAGACACGUUUUGAAUACAGGCCCAGAUCUACAAUUCAGGUUAAUAGCCAAUAAACUGUUGAGUAUGAACAAACAGUCUUGUUAAAUUUACCAUUAAAACAAACAGCUUACCAGAUAGUGAUCUGUCGAGGCCUGCCUGAGAGACAGAUAUGGUCAGGUUACCAGAUAGCUUUAGUUAGCUUUAGUAACAGUCACCAUGGACCUGUAGCUGUAAUGUUGUCUCGGUCCCCCCUGUACUGAGAACAACACUUUAGUGACAAUCUCCACCACCUUGUCAGUCUGUCUUAAAUGGUACCAUUUUCUUGCAGUAGUGCCACCUUUUGGGCCUUGGCCAAAGGUUUAGUGUAAUAUAACAGGAAUAAGGUAUCAUUUGGAACACAAUCUGUCGAGGCCUGUCUAUGUGAUAUGAUCAGGUUGCCAGAUAGUGAUCUGUCGAGGCCUGUCUAUGUGAUAUGAUCAGGUUGCCAGAUAGUGAUCUGUCGAGGCCUGUCUGUAUGAUACGAUCAGGUUGCCAGAUAGUGAUCUGUCGAGGUCUGUCUAUAUGAUAUGAUCAGGUUGCCAGAUAGUGAUCUGGCGAGGCCUGUCUAUAUGAUAUGAUCAGGUUGCCAGAUAGUGAUCUGGCGAGGCCUGUCUAUAUGAUACGAUCAGGUUGCCAGAUAGUGAUCUGUCGAG